AAUCAACGCUGGCGGCGUGCCUCAGACAUGCAAGUCGAACGCGAAAGUCUCCUUCGGGAGGCAAGUAGAGUGGCGCACGGGUGAGUAACACGUAGGUAAUCUACCUUUGGAUGGGGAAUAACAACCGGAAACGGUUGCUAAUACCGCAUAAUGCAGCGGCACCUAAUGGUGACAGUUGUUAAAGCGGGGAUCGAAAGACCUCGCGCCUGAAGAGGAGCCUGCGGCGGAUUAGCUAGUUGGUAAGGUAAUGGCUUACCAAGGCUACGAUCCGUAACCGGCCUGAGAGGGCGGUCGGGUCACACUGACACUGACAUACGGGUC
Molecule: ribosomal RNA, 321 nt
Filed under: uncultured bacterium
Lineage: Bacteria
Description: bacterial SSU rRNA
Rfam family: Bacterial small subunit ribosomal RNA
Source: RNAcentral